This is a non-coding RNA of Podarcis lilfordi (Lilford's wall lizard), 3441 nucleotides long. Lineage: Eukaryota; Metazoa; Chordata; Lepidosauria; Squamata; Lacertidae. The record is from the annotation of a GenBank genome assembly.
GAGUAAAUGGAAAUGUCCGUAUCCAAUUCUGCAGGAGAGGGCGCAUGCAUUCGCAUGUACACCCACUCAGCCCUUUCUUUACAUAGAUCCAUAUUUGCAAAGACUCCUCCUUUAGCGGGAAGGGGGGAAAUUCCUUCUUUGUAAACCUGGCACCAGCCUUUACCAGCUUCUGCUUUCAGUGGCUCAGCUUAGCAGCGACGGAAAACAGCAGAACCACCAAGUUCAGCUCGCCCGGGCAAGGCAAGGUCAGUCAAUUAAAGGAGAGGAGGGGGUGAGUCGGCAGGGUGAAGAGAGGAGAGCAGGUGGGGAAGUGCAGAGUGACCAGAGCCCUAAGAACGGUGGCUCAGUUUCUAAUGGCAACCAUCUCAAAGGCUUUUGUCUUUGUGCCCUGCUUCGUAAUUAAGUGUUAAAUAGAAGUACGGCUCCGUCAGCAGAGCUUCCUUCCUGAUAAAAAAAAAAACCCUUGGCUUAUAUUCAUCUUCUGGCCUGACAGCUUAUUAGAGAACUGCAGUUGGAAGAUUCUGCAUACUUGGGAACAGAGGAAGAGAUCAAGAGAUUAUUCUAAAAUCCCAGAUUGGUCAGUGUCCAAUAUUGCAAUGGAGACACAGCACGUGUGUGUGUGUGUGUGUGUGUGUGUGUGUGUGUGCAGGUAAACCAUUUUGAGGCAUCUAAAUUUUAUUAAAUAAAACAGGCACUUGUAAGAUUGUUAAAUCAAACGUCGGACAUUUAGGUGCGCUGUGCAGGUCAAUAGGCCCUGACCUGUUUUAUGAAUGAACGAAAAUUCGGCAACACAUUCACAAACCUUAAUCCGAUUGACAGCCAUUCUUAUUACAUGUCUUUAAAAAACAUGGAAAUGCAUGGAUCUGUUUUGAACAUAUAUGAAAUUAAACUGGGGUUGUCAGUAAUCAUGUGGGACUGUCAACAGCCACCAGAAUCUGGACACUCGCUACACGCAUGCAUAAAAAUAUCCUCGAGCAUUUAUGCAACAUUUAAGAAGGUUCAGGGCAGUUCUUUGUUUAUGAUGUGCUCUGCACAAUCUCAUCCAUUGUAUAAAUGGCCAGUGAUGUUUGCACAUGACUGCAACUAGUAAGAAAGAUCAGCAAUAGACUGCAGAUUGAGAAAUAAUGUCUAAGAGAAGACUAUUGUGCCUAACAGCCGAGCAACAUGUUACAUUUAAGGUGCCAUCGCAUUUAACAUACAUUUUUGUUUUUGGAAAUGGCACCCACAUGGGGAACCAAUCAGGUCUGGAGCCACAGGGCACUGGGAGGGGUGAUCAAUCUAUCCCCCGCCAUGCUAAUGUCUGACAAAAAUUAACCUGCUGUUGGCGCCGAUAUUGGACAAGGUUCACCCAAUGCUAAUUGCGUCCCACUGCCAUCACUUUGGAACAUGUUGGAAGGCAGAUCCCUCAAAGGCAUGUAAUGUACCAUAGUUUGCCCAUAAGGCUGCCUAAAGAUUUGGCUCUUGGCAAAGAUGAGAUCUGAACUGUGGACUCCACAGCUUACAAUUUCAGCAGCUACAAUGAACUCCAGAAUAUACAAACUCUUCCUUUUCCCCACAUUAAUAUGUUACUAAGUAUGUUCCAAAGUUCACAGAGGAUUCUUGCUGGGGCAGCUUUUUUCCAGUCCAUUUCUUCCAAACGGAAGAACGGGGAAAUUAAAUGACAACUGACACAUUCGUACUUGAAAGUUGCUGGUUAUUAUCAAUAAAGCAUAAUGAGGGGGAAAGAGUCAGUUCCUGGGGGAGAGAAACGAACACAAUAGCACAGUAAUAUCUGUGGCCAAUUUGGCUGUGUGUGUAUGAACAGCCAAAAUAAAUCUGUGUGCUGCAUGUGUAAGGACCAGUACCCCAAAUUCAUGAUCCUCUGUAUGCCACUAUCUUUUAAACAUUUGCUUGGGCACCAAAGCUAUGGCAGCCCCCGUUCGCUUCCAAAGCAUGUGAAAGGGCCUUGCUGCAAGUGUGUCAGGGACUACCAGGGCUCUGACAAGUGUGUGUCAGAGGUAGGACACUAGGGGACUGACCCAGCAGAGGGGGCUAGUGAUUUGGGGGGUUAUCGGUGUUUCGCAACUUUGACCUGUUGCAGGACCUUAGCCAGACCUUAGCAGAGCAUACGCAGAGUUCCAGAAAGCAAUCAGUUGCAGGCAGGACGGACGAAGCAGGAACAAGAUGCUGCUACUAGUAACUUGGUUACUUAGAGAUGUUUAUUAUUUACAACAGACUCUACAAGUUACUAUAUACAAGAACAGAUACGGAUCUUAACUAGCUGUCUCUUAUCAAACUCCAGACGACUCUCAGAACACCACACUGACCAACACACACUCCAGUCAGUAAGGUCAUAAGUCAUCAUGCCUGUGUGAAACCUCAACCAAAGGUAGAGCUGUAUCCAAGGUCUCAGAUCUCCAGGCAGAAUAACUCCUCUCUGCUCAGUCUUCUUGGCUUUCGGCCAACUCUUAAUUGACUCUGUGUGAAGCUGCACAGAAUGGCCCGUAGUCAAAAUCCCAACAGGCACCACCUGCGAGGCAGGAGCCAGGGUGGGAAGGGGGCGGAGGAAUGAUCAGAGCUCUCAGAGGCAAAGGUGGGCAUUCAGGAUGUGUCGGAGGAAGAGGCUGUUCCAGAGAGGGACUGGCCAGUCAAAUACCUGCCAUCUCCCACCACAAUGUCUCCUAGAACCAAGAGGGGUUUAAAGAGGGAAGAGCAGCGACAACUUCCAUGUAGGAGAAGCCUGAGAUUGUGCACGCCGAGGUCGCAAGAAGCAAGAAGCAGCAAGGUCUGGUCAGGAACGACAAAUGGUGUUUCUAGCAACUGACUGAGUCUGGAAACCCUACUUUAAAAAGCUGGUUCUCAUCAGGAGCAAGAAGGCUGAUCAGCAGCAGGUGGAGUCACUUCGCUUUCUGCUCCUUCAGGCUGCUGCUCAGCAGGUAAAGCCGACCCCUGGCCCAUGACACUCGUAAGCUGGGGGGCGGGUGGCACACUCCCACUGUUGUUGCAACUGCUCCGCAGGGUGCAGACCUGGGGACAGCAUGUGUAUCCAGGGCAUCGUGGGAAUUGCUGCCAAGUACGUCCUGUUCUCAACAAAGAAUUGACUAUCAGAUGUGUGCCUUCCUCUGUUGGGGCUGCCUAGGACAAAGAGGGAGUCAGUAACUGAACAUUGCAACAUAUAGAAUGCCGGUCUUCAUUCCCAGAAUCCUCUGCAAGAUGCUGGAAUUCCAUGGAAGAUGUUCAAUGGUGCAGACAAGAAAACACAGAGAUUCUUGAAGGUAGAAAGGGUUGGGAGGUGGACGCUAUUUUAAUCCUUUUCCAUAGUGACUCAUCUGGCUAAAAGGAAUCCUGAUGUUAGCUGCAUUAGCUUUCUAGAAGUUUGUGAAGAAUUCUGGGGCAUAUUACCGUAUUUUUCGCUCUAUAAGACGCACCAGACCACAAGACGCACCUAGUUUUUGGAGGAGG